GUCGAGCGAACAGAUAAGGAGCUUGCUCCUUUGACGUUAGCGGCGGACGGGUGAGUAACACGUGGGUAACCUACCUAUAAGACUGGGAUAACUUCGGGAAACCGGAGCUAAUACCGGAUAACAUUUGGAACCGCAUGGUUCUAAAGUGAAAGAUGGUUUUGCUAUCACUUAUAGAUGGACCCGCGCCGUAUUAGCUAGUUGGUAAGGUAACGGCUUACCAAGGCGACGAUACGUAGCCGACCUGAGAGGGUGAUCGGCCACACUGGAACUGAGACACGGUCCAGACUCCUACGGGAGGCAGCAGUAGGGAAUCUUCCGCAAUGGGCGAAAGCCUGACGGAGCAACGCCGCGUGAGUGAUGAAGGGUUUCGGCUCGUAAAACUCUGUUAUUAGGGAAGAACAAAUGUGUAAGUAACUNUGCACAUCUUGACGGUACCUAAUCAGAAAGCCACGGCUAACUACGUGCCAGCAGCCGCGGUAAUACGUAGGUGGCAAGCGUUAUCCGGAAUUAUUGGGCGUAAAGCGCGCGUAGGCGGUUUCUUAAGUCUGAUGUGAAAGCCCACGGCUCAACCGUGGAGGGUCAUUGGAAACUGGGAAACUUGAGUGCAGAAGAGGAAAGUGGAAUUCCAUGUGUAGCGGUGAAAUGCGCAGAGAUAUGGAGGAACACCAGUGGCGAAGGCGACUUUCUGGUCUGUAACUGACGCUGAUGUGCGAAGCGUGGGGAUCAAACAGGAUUAGAUACCCUGGUAGUCCACGCCGUAAACGAUGAGUGCUAAGUGUUAGGGGGUUUCCGCCCCUUAGUGCUGCAGCUAACGCAUUAAGCACUCCGCCUGGGGAGUACGACCGC
This 846-nucleotide ribosomal RNA is filed under the name Staphylococcus sp. Its description in RNAcentral is "bacterial SSU rRNA". It matches the Rfam family "Bacterial small subunit ribosomal RNA", at positions 61 to 889 of the family's 1533-position model. Lineage: Bacteria; Bacillati; Bacillota; Bacilli; Caryophanales; Staphylococcaceae. The record is from RNAcentral.